Molecule: unclassified non-coding RNA, 328 nt
Filed under: Candolleomyces candolleanus
Lineage: Eukaryota; Fungi; Basidiomycota; Agaricomycetes; Agaricales; Psathyrellaceae
Description: Psathyrella candolleana partial internal transcribed spacer region
Rfam family: Eukaryotic small subunit ribosomal RNA (bases 1-46)
Source: RNAcentral
AAGUCGUAACAAGGUUUCCGUAGGUGAACCUGCGGAAGGAUCAUUAACGAAUAUCUAUGGCGUUGGUUGUAGCUGGCUCCUAGGAGCAUUGUGCACGCCCGUCAUUCAUAUCAUCUUUCCACCUGUGAACCAUGUGUAGGCCUGGAUACCCCUCGCUUUGGCAACAAAGCGGAUGCAAGGAUUGCUGCGUCGACAAGGCCAGCUCUCUUUGAAUUUCCAGGUUCUAUGUCUUUUACACACCCCAUUUGAAUGAUUUAGAAUGUAGUCAAUGGGCUUUCAUGCCUAUAAAAAAACUAUACAACUUUCAGCAACGGAUCUCUUGGCUCUC